GACCCUAACAGCUAGCCCGACCCACCAAAAACAACAAACAAUAUUCAUAACCCCUAAAAGCCUAAAAAUGCUAAACAAACCAUUUUUCCUCUUUAGUAUGGGAGACAGAAAAAGACAUAUGGCGCCAUAGAAAAAGUACCGCAAGGGAAAGCUGAAAGAGUAAAUGAAACAACCCAGUUAAGGAAGAAACAGCAGAGAUUACACCUCGUACCUUUUGCAUCAUGAAUUAGCUAGAACCCCCGAGCAAAACGAAUUUUAGUUCGCUACCCCGAAACUAAGCGAGCUACUCCAAGACAGCCUGUAGAAGGGCAAACCCGUCUCUGUGGCAAAAGAGUGGGAAGAGCUUUGAGUAGAGGUGACAGACCUACCGAGCCUAGUUAUAGCUGGUUGCCUAAGAAAUGAAUAGAAGUUCAGCCUCUUAACUUCUUACUUCCAAAAGGAUAUUUCUCUCAUCCGAUAAAAAGAAAGUUAAAAGAGUUAAGUCAAGAGGGGUUCAGCCCUCUUGAAACAAGACACAACUUUAAAAAGAAGGUUAAAGAUUAAAAACCACAAGGCACAGUAUUUUGGUGGGCUUAAAAGCAGCCACCCCUUUAGAAAGCGUUAAAGCUCAAAUACACAACUAGCCUAUAAUCCCAAUAACAUAUUUCUUAAGCCUCUUAAUUUAUUAGGCCAUCCUACGCCUCACCAUAGGAAAGAACCUGCUAGUAUGAGUAAUAAGAGGGCCAUUGACCCUCUCCAAGCACCCGUGUACAUCAGAACGAACCCGCACUGAAAAUUAACGCCCCCCACCAAAGAAGGAAAAAAGAAAGACACUCUAUCAACAAGAAAACCCCUCUAUAAACAAGCGUUACCCCCACACAGGAGUGCCCAAGGAAAGACCAACAGAAAAAGAAGGAACUCGGCAAACACAAGCCUCGCCUGUUUACCAAAAACAUCGCCUCUUGCCCUCCCCGUAUAAGAGGUCCCGCCUGCCCUGUGACACAAAGGUUUAACGGCCGCGGUAUUUUGACCGUGCGAAGGUAGCGUAAUCACUUGUCUUUUAAAUGAAGACCGGUAUGAAUGGCAUAACGAGGGCUAAGCUGUCUCCUUUUUCCAGUCAAUGAAAUUGAUCUGCCCGUGCAGAAGCGGGCAUGCCUACAUAAGACGAGAAGACCCUAUGGAGCUUUAGACACUAAGACAGACCACGUCAAGCCACCUCCUUAAAGCCAAGAGAAAGAACUAAGUGGCCCCUGUCUCCCUGUCUUUGGUUGGGGCGACCGCGGGGAACAAAAAUCCCCCACGUGGAAUGGGGCCUAUACCCCUUUAAACCAGAGCCACAGCUCUAAUAAACAGAACAUCUGACCAACAAGAUCCGGCACCGCCGAUCAACGGACCGAGUUACCCUAGGGAUAACAGCGCAAUCCCCUUCUAGAGCCCAUAUCGACAAGGGGGUUUACGACCUCGAUGUUGGAUCAGGACAUCCUAAUGGUGCAGCCGCUAUUAAGGGUUC
This 1489-nucleotide ribosomal RNA is filed under the name Prionobutis microps (small-eyed loter). Its description in RNAcentral is "partial 16S ribosomal RNA". It matches the Rfam family "Bacterial large subunit ribosomal RNA", at positions 392 to 2574 of the family's 2925-position model. The record is from RNAcentral. Lineage: Eukaryota; Metazoa; Chordata; Actinopteri; Gobiiformes; Eleotridae.